GUAGUUACCUUACGGGUACGGGCGUUACCACGGUAUGAUUCAUGACUGGGGUG
RNAcentral lists this ribosomal RNA (53 nucleotides) under uncultured bacterium. RNAcentral describes it as "partial 16S ribosomal RNA". The record is from RNAcentral.